This is a long non-coding RNA of Manis pentadactyla (Chinese pangolin), 1254 nucleotides long. RefSeq lists it as uncharacterized. Lineage: Eukaryota; Metazoa; Chordata; Mammalia; Pholidota; Manidae. The record is from RefSeq and is a predicted model, not a curated record. The transcript is spliced from 4 exons.
GCGCGCGUUCCCUCAGGCUUUGCUCUUCCUACUCCGCACUUUCCUUCUUUCUUCUGAAAAGAGCGCUGGUAACAAUGAAGGCUACUGAGCUCCAGAAAGCCAGACACCAGGACAGGGUGAAGUUUGAGCAUAAGGCUUCGUAUUUCAAAGAGGAGGAAUGGAGUUAAUUUUACUCCUCCCAGAGGACUCUGUACAGGGAUGUGAUGCUGAAGAAUUUAGGAAACAUAGUCUCACUUGCUCAUGGUGUUCCUGCUGAUGGAAGUUUCUCAAGAACCUCGUGAGGCUGUGCGAAUUUCACUGGCAUUCACUCCAUUACACCAAAUCCCCACCCAUACGUUUGUUCAAGACAAUGCCUUGUUUUGGGGGUUGGGGUCCUGCUGGGGUGGCUGAGGGACACCAACCUUGAGCAUCCCAGAGGCCCUCCAACAUAGUUAAGAAAAUCUGUGAGAGACAACUUUAGUCUCUUGAGAGGGCUUUUCAUGGGAAUUAGUAAUCUGAACUUUUAGUCUUUCUGAGCAUUUAGCAAAAGUUUGUAUAACCACACCCUUGGAUUUUCUCUAGACCACACUUUCAGAAGCAUUCUCUUAGUUUUACCUUCUUUGUUUCUCUCUCCCUUUCUUCCUUUCUUUCUUCCUGCUCUUUUCCCUUCCUACCUCCUCUUUCAUUCUUCCUCUUUCUCUACCUCCCUCCCACCCUCUCUCUCUCCCUCUGUCUCUUUCCCUCUCUUUCUUUAAUAAACUAAGAAUUUCCCAAAUCACCAAGUCCUGGUUCCUUUUGUUUAACAGUUCUUUGCACAAUUUACCCUUCUCUCCUCAUAUUUUGCUCUAAGCAGCAAGAAGAUAUCAGGCCAUACCUUCAAUACAUUGUUUGGAAAUCUCCUCAGAUAUAUAUCUGUGUUCCUCAUUGGUUACUUCAACUUUCCACAUAACUGCAGGAUACAAUAAUGCUAAGCAUCAGCCAUUGUAUAAGAGACUCCUCCCUUACUGUAGUUUCCAAUAACUCAUCCCUCACUUCAUUGGGAGCCUGCACUGUCAGAAUCUUCCAGGUCCAGAUGUUCAUUAAAAGUCUGAUAACAGUUAGUUUGGCUUUCUGUAGGGCAACUUAGGAUUUCCCUAACAUUCUCCUUAUUGCUUGAGAGUCCCCACCAGCAGAGGUUUUAAAUACCAGAUCUGUACUAGCACUCUGCUCAAGGCAAUCUAUGUCUUUUUCUAUUGUGCCUCCCAAAUUCUGCCUUGGCCUUAUAUCCAAGUUUGU